GAAAGUUUUCAUCCCAAAUCUAGAUUUUUAGGAUUGUUAACUUUUGAGAAACUGUUUCCACAUUAGAGCUCCCCCCAUGUUGCUCUAAAUAUAGUUUAAUAAAUGCACCUACUUUGCUCUAAGCAAACUUAAAGUUAAAACAGAAGUAUGUAUACAAAGACUUUGAUAUUUUUAAUAGUUGGAGUCUGUUUUGCUGAUUUUAGUGUGCAGGUCAGCACAAGGGGCAUAGUGAGCCUGAUGGAUGCUUUCCUCAGGUGAGUGAGUUUCAAAAUCAAAAUUAGGUGCCUGUUUUUUAAAAUUAGAUUCUGCUGCAGGUUUAUAAAUUAGACUUUCAGCCUGCAUGAAUUAGUAGGGAUAUUCUUUUUUUACUUGCAUAAUUGUAAUUGAUUUAAACAUGUAUGUCAGAAUUCACAGGCCCAUACUAACUGUCCUUAAUUUCUUUCCUACAGCAGUACUGCUAUAUGCCAGUCCUGUCUGCAUUCUUAAGGGUGCAGUUCAACACAUCCU
Molecule: long non-coding RNA, 507 nt
Filed under: Bos taurus (domestic cattle)
Lineage: Eukaryota; Metazoa; Chordata; Mammalia; Artiodactyla; Bovidae
Description: long non-coding RNA NONBTAT011387
Source: RNAcentral